This 200-nucleotide unclassified non-coding RNA is filed under the name Helotiales sp. Its description in RNAcentral is "partial internal transcribed spacer 2". The record is from RNAcentral. Lineage: Eukaryota; Fungi; Ascomycota; Leotiomycetes; Helotiales.
UUAAGUUCAGCGGGUAUCCCUACCUGAUCCGAGGUCAACCUUUAAAAUAUUGGUGUUUGCUGGCAGGCACACAAACGGUACUCCAGAGCGAGAAAAUUACUACGCUUGAAGCCGAAUGGCACCGCCACUGAUUUUGAGGCCCACCCUGACGGAUGAAGCCCAAUACCAAGCAGAGCUUGAGGGUUGUAAUGACGCUCGAA